GAAGGAUUUUGUUUGAGGAUACUCGGGUGUUGGGCUUAUGGGAUGAUGCAUUUGGACUGUUCGGGUUUGGCUUGCAGACGGUUUGUUUCCACGCUUUUAGAAGGAUACGGGUUUAGUGUUUAAAGUUGGGUUAUGGUUGAGGUUAGAGGAAGGGUGAGAGGGUUUGAGGUCAUUCUGAAAUGUGAUCAGUUGGUCACUGCAACCCUAAAGAAUACACGUUUGGGGUGUUAUAGGUUGGGGUAAAGGGUAGGAUUGAGGUUAAAAAGAGGUGUUAAGCCUAAAUCAUAACGGUAAGCCCAAAACCUGCUCAAGCCAACCCGUAACGCUGACUUUCUCACACCUAACCCUCUCACCCUAUCCCCCAACUACCUAACGGUUAACCCUCUCCUCCAAAAACCCUUUCUCUAAUCCCCUCACCCAAUUCCAAACCCAGACGCUUGUUCCUUGCACCUGUCAUGAGCUUUUUUCAGUUAGUGGAGAUGACAGCGCUGUUGGACGGUCUACGCUGGUGUGGCCUAGGAUAAGGAGAGGAACGCCAGUGCUGACUUGUCGAUGAAACGAAUUUAAGAACUGCUUCAGUCGUGUAUGCGGGAGAAGUGGCUCAGAUUGCAUCACUGUCGUCAUUUGGAAGUAUGGUGCAUUUCUGCUGUUUAUUCUUGUUGAUGAGUGUGCUAAGGGAAAUUAAAAAUUAAGGGAAAUUAAUCCUAAUUUCCCUUAAACCCUCAAACCCAGGGGUGUCCAAACUCUGUCCUUAAGGGCUGCUGUCCUGCCCGUUUCCCAGCUCCUCCAAGAGCAACACACCUGAUUCAAAUAAUCAGGAUCGUUGUAAUGCUGCUUCAGAGAUGCCUGAUGAGCUGAUCGUCUGAAUCGGGUGUGUUGCAGCCAGGAGAGAUGCAAAGCAGACAGGACAGCGGCCCUUUGAGACCAAGUUUGGACACCCCUGAGUUUCAGGGUAAAGGGAAAUUGGGGUUACGGUUGAAGUUUAGAGUAAGCAUUUGGGGUAUGGUUAAAGUGGUGAGGGGUAGAAUUGGGGGAUAAAGUUGGAGGGUUGACAGUUAGGGGUUUAUGGUUGAGGUAAGGGCACAAUGUUCAGGGUUAACCCUCGAGGUUUGAGUUUGGGGUUAGGAAUUGGAGUAAGGCAGAUAGAAUUUUUGGGUUCAGUGGUUAGAUGUAUAGGCAUUAAGGGUUAGGUGUUCAGAGUCAGGGUACAAGGAUUUUGUUUGAGUAUAGUCGGGUGUUAAGGUUAUGCGAUGACGCAUUCAGGCUGUUCGGUUCGUCAUACAGGCGAUUUGGGUUUGGUGUGUCGACGCUUUUAGGAUACGGGGGUUUGGUGUAAGUGUUUACUACCUAACGCUUAAUCCUCUAAUCCAAACCCAUGUGCUUGUUCGUUGCACCUGUAAUGAGCUUUUUCACAGGCCUGGUCUAUUUAGUGGAGAUGACGGCGCUGUUGGACGGUAUGCGCUGGUGCGGCUGGAUGGGUUGUGGAGCCGAGGAUUAGGAGAGAGAGGAACGUCGGUGUUGACUGUCGAAACAAAUUUAAGGCCUGGUCUAUUUAGUGGAGAUGACAGCGCUGUUGGACGGUCUGUGCUGGUGUGGCUGGUUGGCUUGUGGAGCAGAGGUCAAUGAGGAGAGGAACGUCAGUGCUGACUGUUGAUGAAACAAAUUUAA
Hippocampus zosterae (dwarf seahorse) is the source of this 1668-nucleotide long non-coding RNA. RefSeq lists it as uncharacterized. The record is from RefSeq and is a predicted model, not a curated record. The transcript has 3 exons. NCBI's taxonomy places the organism in Eukaryota, Metazoa, Chordata, Actinopteri, Syngnathiformes, Syngnathidae.